CAGUUGUGAUGUCUAACUCAGGGGACAGUACAUCCUGGUUUGCCCCAGAUGGUCCCUGCUGCCCUGACAUCCCUUUAACAUUGUCCCAUUUACUCUCUAAAGUGUCUCCGUUUGAACAAUAAAUGACACAGUCACUCCACAUGUGUGAAAGUCUAACUCACAGGAGGCUCUAAACAAGUAGCACCAUCUAGUAUCAGAAGAAGAGGCAUUCAGGACAGGACCACGGGUUUGGUAAAGGCUUUCUGUCACCGGGAGGUGAAGGCUGAGCCACAGUUAACAGCUUUGGCUACAAACCAGAAAGAACCAUUUGUGUGCGGAGUGUGGAAAGGAGGAUAAAUCACGUGCUGGUUGGAGUGUGCAGAACUCUCCCUUCUCACGGCAAGUGUCUUGAACAUUUUCUGCAUCAGAAUCAGCCCCGUUUGCCAGAAGUACAGUAUCCAAGACCCCUACCCAGACCUACUGAAGACAAUCGUUCAGGAUGGAGCACAGAGGACCCUAAUUUUUAAAUACCAUCCCUGGUGAUUCUCUGCUCAUUCACUAGAACCGGUGGCUGCAACCUCAGGGCACUUGUGAUUCAGCUUGGACAGGAAGAAAGGAGGCCCAACCAGCUAGGGCCCAGCACACUGCCUUUACCUACUAAUAUUUAUCACCAAAUGUGGAUUCAGGAGCAAUCCUGAGACUCUUGAACACUUUUUCUCUUAUCUCCUUAAAUAUUGAACUCAAUGACGCCUUCCCGUCUUCGAAUCAACUAAAAUGAAAGUGUAAUUAUUCUCUGUG
Long non-coding RNA from Odocoileus virginianus texanus, 777 nucleotides. RefSeq lists it as uncharacterized. Lineage: Eukaryota; Metazoa; Chordata; Mammalia; Artiodactyla; Cervidae. The record is from RefSeq and is a predicted model, not a curated record.